AUGAACAAACAAAAAACUCUGCCUAAAAUUAGUGACCUUACUCUGUUGACAUCAGCUCUGGAGAUGGCAUCCUGGUAGCCUUCUGUAGUCCCGGGGAAGAGAGAAGCAAUUCCAAGAACUGAUUCAUCCCAGAUCAAAGGAAACAUCUAGAAGGUUGAGUUGUGGCCUAAAAGUGCACAUUUUCUGCAAUGAAAAGAGAUGACUAACUCAGUUGUAGAUAUCUAUGCCUUACCCUGAGGUUGCUUUUGACUUAGGAGAAGGGCUGGUUGAUUAACUUUGAAUUUCCGAGUUUUUGCAAUGUGACAAAAUUAGUACAGUUACAAUUACCAUUUUACAAGUAUCAGAAAGUCCGGUUUCCUAUUUAAUGGAAGUUCUUAACCUUUGCUCUUUGGUAGCAAGAUGGAUUUGUCACUGUCUGUGUACAGGUUCUGCAACUUCUUAUAUAUUGGAAGAAUUAGGAAAUUGGUAGGGGUCUCAGCCACAUUUUUAUUUGAGAAUCAUAGAACCACAAUCAUUGAAUCGUUUGGAUUGGAAGGGACCUCAAAGAUCAACCCUGCCCUGGGCUGGUUGCCCCCCACCAGCUCAGCUGCCCAGGACCCCAUCCCACCUGGCCUUGAGCACCUCUGGGGAUGGGGGCACCACAGCUCUCUGGGCAGAAGUGCCAGGGCCUCACUACCCUCUGAGUAACAAAUUUCUUCCUAGCAGCUAACCUAAAUCUCCCCUCUUUUACUUUAAAACUGUUCUUCCUUGUCUUAUCACAAUCUGCUAGCAUAAAAAGUCAGUCUCCUCCCUGUUUAUAAGCUUCUUUUAAGUACUGGAAGGUUGCAGUGAGUCUCUCUGGAGACUCUCACUUUCUCUUCUUCGGACUAAGCAAGCCCACCUUCCUCAGCCUUUCUUUGUAGGAGAGAUGCUCCAGCCUUCUCAGAACUCUAUGAAAACUCUAUGUUUUCAAGAUGGACUCCUGUGAAAACAUUCUGCAAGCUUGUUUCUGUGUCCAGAAUAUUUACAAAAUUAAUUAAUUUCCUUAAGUACACUUAAAAGAGAUUUUGUUAUUUAAACUUCAGCUGCAUUGUUGAAUUUGUCCUGAUAUAACCAGAUGACCAUAACACAAUUCUUCAUCUGUUCCAAGCCUGCAAAAUGAGAAGUGAAAAGCAUUUUCCUUUUAAACCAGAGUGAACAAAUUAAAUGGCCAGAAAGAAAGCUCUUAUUCGGAGCAUAGGGUAUAUGUGGUGGCUGAUGCUGUUUAUUUUAAAUUUGUUUUUGUUGCAUGGCUCUAAAUAAUAUCAUUUCAGAUGCUACACACACUGUUAUAAAGUCACUGGAGAACUCUCUUCCCAUGGGAGAAAAUGCCAUUUAAAGUGUUUAUGUUUCCACUGGUGUUGGCUUAGAUCAUCUUUUCUUUGACCUGAUCUGCUGGUUGCAAAGGGUGCAGUACUUGAUCCCAGCUUCUGGACAUAGUGAGAGGAGACCAGACAGCAGUCAAACCCCACAGCCUGAGGUGCUUACUGGCAAAGUCAAACAGAAUAUACUUUUCUCUGCUGUCUAUGUCCUUCAGCAGCUGCUGGUAGCAUGAUUCUCAUUUUACAGAAGGAAGUAUCUGCCUCAGAGGAAAACCUCUAAAUUAGUUAGCUACUAAUCCAAGGCUGCGCUGCUUUUAACUUUGUCCUUUUCCAGGGAGGUCUAGUUAUUCCUCAUCUUGGGGGAUUCACUUUAUUUCAGAUACUACUGUUUUUAACUUGUUGGGGCUUCUUAGUCAGAUUCUUUGUUGAAUAUGUGAAAAUCUUUUCUGAAUAUAUGAAUAUGAAGAUUUUUCUGCAUAGAAUAGUGAAGUAUAAUGAUAGUUGAAGUUGAUAGCGUAGAAAAUAUCUUUUGGAAGAAAGACAAAUUGGACAAAGUAUACUUUUGCUUCUCUGAUCUAUUUUCUGCUGACAAAUAUGCAGACUUUUUGGCUCCUGCCAGGAACCUCCAGUGUUUCCCAUCUUCCUUUUCUGUUCUCCAUCCUAGUGAGCAUGCCCCAAGUGGGCUCUCAUGUUUUUGGAAGGUUUGCUUGGAACUGAUGCAUUAACACAUUUGUCAGUGUGAUUUUUUGAGAGGUGGUGGGACUGCAGCCCUCUUCACCCCCUCCAGAAAAUCCAUAUCUGCACCAAACACAUCCCUCGCACAACCUCCCCCAAAUCAGGCUUCUGGAACCCAAUUGGCACAGAACAAUGAUCUGAUAUGAGAGAAGAGGUUUUUAGUUUUGCAACUAUGAAUACGUAAUAUAAGCUUUAGGAGCCAGGGAUGCUAAUCCACAUUAAUCAUCCAAACAUUUUCAUGAACCCAUAUAGUUGAUUGACUGAAAUCAAUUUAUAAUUCACUGAAAUCCCUUGACAGCAGAAAGGUGCUUGGUGUAUAAAUAACAGCUGAUGUGUCUUCUGUAUAUUAAAGCAGAGCUGACUGAGUAACAGGGAAAUGAGAAGUGCAUUAAUCAGAAUAAAAUGAUGUUUCCUUUUUGUGUCAAAUUAACUGGUAUAUUUACCUCAAAAUUUUUACUAAUCUAUAUGUCUAGAAAAGUAUGCAUUAUUUGAGAGAAAAACAGCAAAGAAACAGAUUUAGACCAGCAAAACAUAAUGGUAAGGUAGCAUAUACAAGAGCUAGGAGGAAGUAGAGUGGUGAUAUACUCAGCAGCUUUCAGGCCAUGCAGAAUUCCAUUCCAUUCCAUUACAUCACCUUGGUGGAAAAUUUAAGCAUUGUUUUUUUGCUGUUGUUUAUUUCUAUUCUAGAGUUUACCUUAGGCCCAUUAAAAAUCACUGUCAUCAUCUUAAUGUCCCUUCUUCAGAAUACGUCUAACCUUAGAGUAACUAGAAGGCUGCAUUCUCCAAUGAACAAAAAAUCCACCUAAAUAAAGGAAAAACCCUGAGAUUCAUGGUUGAUGUUCCUGUGGCUAGUCCUGUUUUUCCACCCAUCUUUCCAUCUGCCUGAGGCUGGCCUCUCCAUUGCACUCACUCACUGGUUUAUGUGGAAGAGUUCCUUGAAAAGACCUGGUUUAAGGAAAUAGAAAAAGACACAUUGCCACUUUUUGCAAAGAAAAAUCAAAAGGUAUGCUUUCCUUGGCUCCUUCAUAUAGACAUUAUUUUUGUUCUUAUUUUCUCAUUCCUAUAAUUGAAAGAGGCAUUUUAUAUGCUGAAAACUGUUGGCAUUUCAGCAAGUUUCUUGAAGCAAAACGACCAAGACACACACAACAAAUAACGGAUAACACUGGACUGCAAUUCAUUUGGACAAUUACACAUAAAUACAUUAAGGGAAAUCACAUCAUUUCCCAGAGAGUUUUCAGCAAGAAAAAUAGAAAAAAAUACUUGGCUCAGUAGAGAAAUUGCUUAUCCAGCUCUAGUAGUAACACAUUUAAGAGAUUAAUUUCUUCUGUUGAAAGCUCUUCCGCAAUGGUAGAUCUGUCCUUUUUCUCCCCUGUGAAAUAUGGAAAUGUGCCUACAAAGAUUUGUGAAAAUAAACAGCAUUCUUUGCCAAAGAAAACAGAAGUUGAAAAUGUCCUGGUUUUAUAUUUAUAUGGAUUAUAUUCCAUUCCCUCCAGAAAUGUAUCAUUUUUUAUCUUAAAGACAUGUGAACUAUAAAGCAAAGUAUUGUUCAAAUGUGUAGUUUAAAUGGAACUUUCAUCUGUUAUGUCACUUUAAGGCUUCUUGAGGGAACAGGCUGUAAGUUGCUAUUGGCAAACCUUAAAAGACGGAAGGCAAAAAAUAUGUUAUUUAUUGACUGUAGACUGUGUGUUUACCCCUGAACAACAGAGGGAGCAAAACAUACUGCUUCCCAGGAGAGUUUAUGUUAGGUGGUAUAAUAUAAGCACACAAAUUUCUUUCAGAUCAACUACAGGCCUGGCUUCAACAAGGUGUUAAAGUAUAGGGUGCACAGUAGGCAUUCAAUUUGUAGUGCAGUAUCUUGGGAAGUUGUGGUGGGAAAAUAUAUAUUAAAGAGGGAUUUGAAAAAGCAAGGGCAUAAAGGGGAGCAGAUACAUAACGAGAUGGUUUGAAGACUAAGAGUCCACUGAGACAACACUUUUCAAGUACUUAAGUGUUUUUUGGUAUUGAACGUUCCUUAGCAAGUGCAAACAUUUCACAUUCUUUCUACACUCUGGUAGUAGCUUGUGAGAAAUCUCUCUGCUCUAUGAUUUAUACAUCUGUUAUACUACUGAGCAAAGGGGUACAUAUUAAAAAUACAUAUAUUUGCAUGGAUCUGAAUUUAUUUGCAUAAAAUUAUCUGGUUUUAUUGCUCAUUUGUUGGCUAUGUGCCUGUCAGACUUCCAGGUUUGAACUGCUUUUAGGAUUCCUGACUCUCGUUCACACACACUAUGUCUCCUCAAAGUCUUGACCUUUCAGCCUUACCUUUAUAUAUUCAGAAAACACCAGAAAAAAAGAUGCAUUAAGUAAGGAAGAACUGAUCUGUGAGAAAGCAAUGACUGAGCACACAUAAGAAAAGAUGAGGAUAUUCUACACAUUAGUGAUUUUCCUUUUCUGAUUUAAUUCCAUUCUACAUUACGCUGCCUGGCCUCUUCUUUAUGAAUGAACUUCUACAAUACAUGGAAUUUGAUUCCAAUCUUCCCAUCAUGAUUUCAAAUUUUUGCUUUUACAUCAUGAUGGCACAACAUUCUCUCACUCAGAAAUUUCCUUAAGUUCUCAUCUGCCCCUUUUCUAGUACUUCCCUCAUGCCCUUCUUGGAGUCCUGAUUUUGUGAAGGGCAAGAGGAGUUCUGGACGGUCUGCAGUGCUCAGCCAAGGGAUAAGGUUGACUUCUUAGGAACAGAAAUAAAAGAGAAACCAGCAGCCCAUCAGCAAUGCAGGGCAUUUUACUAUCAUUUCCAGAAGGAGGUAGAGUGGUUGCCAGACCAGGGAACUCUGCAGGUCCACAUGGAUGCAUGCCAUAGCAAAUUCUUUAUCUGUUAGGAAAAUCUGGAAACAGAUUAGGAAUGAAAUAGGCAUUUUAUAGUCUCUGCAACUUUAUUCUGUGACUGAGUUUCUGUGAUAAAUUCACUCUUCAUAAAAAUACACUCAAGAUACAGUAGGCCAAAAGUUUAAGGAA
Molecule: long non-coding RNA, 5066 nt
Organism: Gallus gallus (chicken)
Lineage: Eukaryota; Metazoa; Chordata; Aves; Galliformes; Phasianidae
Exons: 2
Source: RefSeq, a predicted model, not a curated record